UAACGCAUGCAAGUCGAACGAUAAAGCGAAUUUAUUCGCGAUUAAAGUGGCGAACGGGUGAGUAACGCGUGGGAAACCUGCCCUUCGAGUGGGGGAUAACAUUCCUAACGGAAUGCUAAUACCGCAUAACAUCACAGAUCGCAUGGUCUGUGAUGAAAGAUGGCCUCUAUUUAUAAGCUGUCGUUGAAGGAUGGUUCCGCCUCCCAUUAGCUAGUUGGUGGGGUAAUGGCCUACCAAGGCGACGAUGGGUAGCCGGCCUGAGAGGGUGUCCGGCCACACUGGGACUGAGAUACGGCCCAGACUCCUACGGGAGGCAGCAGUCGAGAAGCUUCCGCAAUGGGGGAAACCCUGACGGAGCGACGCCGCGUGAACGAAGAAGGUCCUUUGGAUUGUAAAGUUCUGUCAGAUUGGGAAGAAAACUGUGCGGUUAAUACCCGUACAUUUGACGGUGCCUGUAGAGGAAGCUCCGGCUAGCUCCGUGCCAGCAGCCGCGGUAAUACGGGGGGAGCAAGCGUUGUUCGGAUUCACUGGGUAUAAAGGGUGCGCAGGCGGCCUGAUAAGUCAGAGGUGAAAUAUGUCGGCUCAACCGGCAAACGGCCUCAAAAACUGCUUUACUUGAGGUCGAGGGAGGAAAGUAGAAUUCCUGGUGUAGCGGUGAAAUGCGUAGAUAUCAGGAGGAAUACCAGUGGCGAAGGCGGCUUUCUAUCUCGAUUCUGACGCUGAGGCGCGAAAGCUAGGGGAGCAAACGGGAUUAGAUACCCCGGUAGUCCUAGCCGUAAACGAUGGGCACUAGGUGUGGGAGGUAUCGACCCCUUCCGUGCCGCAGCUAACGCAUUAAGUGCCCCGCCUGGGGAGUACGGUCGCAAGAUUGAAACUCAAAGGAAUUGACGGGGGCCCGCACAAGCGGUGGAGCAUGUGGUUUAAUUCGAUGAUACGCGAAGAACCUUACCUGGGUUUGACAUGGACAGGACCGGUAUAGAAAUAGAGUUUUCCGUCGGGAGUUCUGUAGAGGUGCUGCAUGGCUGUCGUCAGCUCGUGUCGUGAGAUGUUGGGUUAAGUCCCGCAACGAGCGCAACCCUUAUCCUUAGUUGCCAUCAGGUUAUGCUGGGAACUCUAAGGAGACUGCCGGUGAUAAACCGGAGGAAGGUGGGGAUGACGUCAAGUCCUCAUGGCCCUUACGCCCAGGGCUACACACGUGCUACAAUGGCCGGUACAGCGGGCUGCAAUACCGCGAGGUGGAGCGAAUCCCAGAAAACCUGUCUCAGUUCGGAUUGCAGUCUGCAACUCGACUGCAUGAAGGCGGAAUCGCUAGUAAGCGCGGAUCAGCAGGCCGCGCUGAAUACGUUCCCGGGCCUUGUACACACCGCCCGUCACGCCAUGGAAGCUGGGGGGACCCGAAGCCGGUGGGCUAACCUUAGGGAUG
Molecule: ribosomal RNA, 1423 nt
Filed under: uncultured prokaryote
Description: partial 16S ribosomal RNA
Rfam family: Bacterial small subunit ribosomal RNA
Source: RNAcentral